Molecule: ribosomal RNA, 253 nt
Filed under: uncultured bacterium
Lineage: Bacteria
Description: partial 16S ribosomal RNA
Rfam family: Bacterial small subunit ribosomal RNA
Source: RNAcentral
UACGAGGGGGGCAAAUGUUGUUCGGAAUCACUGGGCGUAAAGGGAGCGUAGGCGGGUUUUUAAGUCAGGUGUUUAAUCCCGGGGCCCAACCCCGGACAGGCACUUGAAACUGGGAAUCUUGAAUAGUGGAGAGGUCAGUGGAAUUGGGGGUGUAGCGGUGGAAUGCGUAGAGAUCCCCAAGAACACCCGUUGCGAAGGCGGCUGACUGGACACAUAUUGACGCUGAGGAGCGAAAGCGUGGGGAGCGAACAGG